GACGAACGCUGGCGGCGUGCUUAACACAUGCAAGUCGAACGGAAAGGCCUCUUUCGGGGGGUACUCGAGUGGCGAACGGGUGAGUAACACGUGAGUAACCUGCCCUUGACUUUGGGAUAACUUCAGGAAACUGGGGCUAAUACCGGAGAGGAGCUCCUGCUGCAGGGUGGCGGUCCGACAGGUUCGGCGGUUGGGGAUGGACUCGCGGCUUAUCAGCUUGUUGGUAGGGUCGUGGCUUACCAAGGCGUUGACGGGUAGCCGGCCUGAGGGGGUGAGCGGCCCCAUUCGGACUGGGAUCCGGCCCAGCCCCCUACGCGAGGCAGCCGUGGGGAGUGUUGCGCAAUGGGUGGAAGCGUGAUGCAGCACCGCCGUGGGCGCGAGGACGGAGUUCGGGUUGUAACCCGCUUUCGCUCAUGGCGGAGCAUUGUGUGACGGUAGUGGGUAAAGAAGCCCCGGCUAACUACGUG
This 467-nucleotide ribosomal RNA is filed under the name uncultured bacterium. RNAcentral describes it as "partial 16S ribosomal RNA". It matches the Rfam family "Bacterial small subunit ribosomal RNA", at positions 28 to 507 of the family's 1533-position model. The record is from RNAcentral.